CCCUAUUAUUGAAAAUGUAAAUAUAAAUGCUUGAGUAUUAGUAGCUAUGUUCUUGAAAUUUAAAGGAUUUGGCGGUAUUAUAGUCUAUUCAGAGGAACCUGUCCUAUAAUUGAUGAUCCACGAUUAAUCUUACUUGUUUUANAGAGGUUUGUAUAUCGUCGUAGGUUGAAUGUUUUGAAAGGAAGAGGAAUAUUCAAGAUAUUAGGUUAAAGAGGAAAUCAGAUCAAGAUACAGCGGAUAGACAAGGAGAGAUGGGUUACAAUAAAUUUAUUUAUAUUGUUGAAAUAGUUAUCCCUUUUUUUUGAAGUUGUUUUUAUUGUUAUAUAUUUUAGUUACUCUAUCUGACUGUAGUUCUAUACUCUUCUCCUAUCGCCCGUCGCUCCUGCUCUAAAGCAGGAUAAGU
Molecule: ribosomal RNA, 403 nt
Filed under: Paracotalpa ursina
Lineage: Eukaryota; Metazoa; Arthropoda; Insecta; Coleoptera; Scarabaeidae
Description: partial small subunit ribosomal RNA
Source: RNAcentral